UACGUAGGGGACGAGCGUUGUCCGGAAUUACUGGGCGUAAAGGGCGCGCCGGCGGUAUAUCAAGUCAGCUGUCAAAGACUGGGGCUCAACCCUGGUAUGCGGUUGAAACUGAUAUGCUGGAGUGCUGUAGAGGCAAGUGGAAUUCCCAGUGUAGCGGUGAAAUGCGUAGAUAUUGGGAAGAACACCGGUGGCGAAGGCGACUUGCUGGGCAGCAACUGACGCUGAGGCGCGAAAGUGUGGGGAGCAAACAGGAUUAGA
RNAcentral lists this ribosomal RNA (258 nucleotides) under uncultured prokaryote. RNAcentral describes it as "partial 16S ribosomal RNA". It matches the Rfam family "Bacterial small subunit ribosomal RNA", at positions 524 to 782 of the family's 1533-position model. The record is from RNAcentral.